This 828-nucleotide ribosomal RNA is filed under the name Scelotes caffer. RNAcentral's name for it is "partial 12S ribosomal RNA". The record is from RNAcentral. Lineage: Eukaryota; Metazoa; Chordata; Lepidosauria; Squamata; Scincidae.
ACAUGCAAGCCUCCACACCCCAGUGCAAAUGCCCGCCACCCCUAAACAGAAUAUCGGAGCAGGUAUCAGGACCAACCAAAAUAGCCUAUGACACCUUGCUAUGCCACACCCACACGGGCCUACAGCAGUAAUUAACAUUAAGCCAUAAACGAAAGUUUGACUUAGUUAUGAUUUAAAAAGUCGGUAAAUUUCGUGCCAGCCACCGCGGUUACACGAAAGACUAAAAACAAUGAUCCUCGGCGUAAAGCGUGAUCAGAAAUAUAUUAUACUUAAAGAAAAACUGUCAUAAAGCCGUAAAAUGCUACUACGAACAAGAAUCAAACCCUUUAAACAAAUGCUUUGAUUCACGAAAGUCAAGAAACAAACUGGGAUUAGAUACCCCACUAUGCUUGACCUUAAACAUAGACAAUAAUAAUACAAUAUUGUCCGCCAGAGAACUACAAGCAGAAAGCUCGAAACUCCAAGGACUUGGCGGUGCUCCAUACCGACCUAGAGGAGCCUGUCCUAUAAUCGACACCCCACGUUAUACCCAACCACCUUUUGCCACUCAGUCUAUAUACCGCCGUCGUCAGCCUACCUUAUAAAAGAUUAAACAGUAGGCACAAUAGCAACCACAAACACGUCAGGUCAAGGUGUAGCACAUAAGAUGGAAGAGAUGGGCUACAUUUUCUAAUAUAGAACAUACGAAAGGCUAAAUGAAACACUAGCCCGAAGGCGGAUUUAGCAGUCAGAUGAACAAGUAACCUCAUCUUAAACCCGCUCUGGAGCGCGCACACACCGCCCGUCACCCUCAUCAUAAGUCAAUAAUAAAAACAUAUAAAAACACAC